GGAACUGCCAACUGCUUUCCAAAGCGACAGUGGAGAUUCUGUUUUUUAAGAAUCAGAUCCACGAAUUUUGGAUAUGUCACACGAUUGACUUUUUCUUCCUUUUCAACAGCUACAGAUUUCAAUGAGGACAAUAAAGGAGCAUAAGAUCGAGAGCAGGUUUCACUGAGCACGGCUUCUUCAUCAAAGAAGAUUAUGUCAACAAUAUUUUAUGACUCCUGAUACUGUAACUUGAAAAAGUAAAUAGUGAAAGUACUCCGGAUAUGUUGGAAGUUCUUUUGCAACCUGGAGAAUACCUGAGAAGAGUCACUGCCACUGUGGUACAGAAACUGUAUGCCAAUUCAGUUGGCAUGCAGGGAGUAAUUGAAUUGACCUGGAUAUAUGGAAUCUUGGGUGGAGAGAGUGAAUGAUGAGAAAACUAUGAGAAAAUCUCUUGGGCUUGCUUCAGAGGCUGCUGUGUGCAGAACAGAGAGAGAAGGUGGUAGCUUACUCUGGUCCUCAGGGCAACAGCCAUUGCAUGGAGGAAGAAAAGAGGGGCUGUGGCCAGUCCUGAAUCUGGGAAGGUGUUGUCCAGAAUUCCUGACCACCACAGAACAUCCCUUCCUGAUGUGUGAGGUGGAGCUAUGUGGCCUGAG
Long non-coding RNA from Homo sapiens (human), 632 nucleotides. Lineage: Eukaryota; Metazoa; Chordata; Mammalia; Primates; Hominidae. The record is from Ensembl.